This 422-nucleotide ribosomal RNA is filed under the name uncultured bacterium. RNAcentral's name for it is "partial 16S ribosomal RNA". It matches the Rfam family "Bacterial small subunit ribosomal RNA", at positions 360 to 774 of the family's 1533-position model. The record is from RNAcentral.
AAUAUUGGACAAUGGGGGCAACCCUGAUCCAGCCAUGCCGCGUGAGUGAAGAAGGACUUCGGAACGUAAAGCACUUUAAGAGGGGAGGAAGGGCUUUAGGUUAAUAACCUGAAGUUUUGACGUUACCAACAGAAUUAGCACCGGCUAACUCUGUGCCGGCAGCCGCGGUAAUACAGAGGGUGCAAGCGUUAAUCGGAAUUACUGGGCGUAAAGCGCGCGUAGGUGGUUCAGUAAGAUGGGUGUGAAAUCCCCGGGCUUAACCUGGGAACUGCUUUCAUAACUGCUGAGCUAGAGUACGGUAGAGGGUAGUGGAAUUUCCUGUGUAGCGGUGAAAUGCGUAGAUAUAGGAAGGAACACCAGUGGCGAAGGCGACUACCUGGACUGAUACUGACACUGAGGUGCGAAAGCGUGGGGAGCAAACA